This 521-nucleotide non-coding RNA is filed under the name Pongo abelii (Sumatran orangutan). Lineage: Eukaryota; Metazoa; Chordata; Mammalia; Primates; Hominidae. The record is from RNAcentral.
GAGAGAAGUGACGAUGGUGAUCGUUGUUGCCGCGGCCGAUAUGGAACCCAAGCAGUGGCGAAGGGAAUCGCAAGGCUCUUCCCUGACCAUUUUCUCCUGUCCCUGCGCGAGGUGAAUGCAAAGGUGUUAAAUGAGGUUGAAUAUAUUGAUCAGAAAAGAAAAUAUUAGUCCUUUGUUGAAGAAGAGUUUUCUCAUACUGGAAAGAAAAAAAAAAGAAAGAAACUUCAAAAACUUCAUGCUGCUUUCUGAAGUACUCCAGCCAAAAAAAAUAAUGCAGGAAUCAAGUUGGAUUAGCUCAGAUGACUACAAAAUGGUUCAAGCGAUUGUCCUGAGUAUCUGGGACUACAGACAUGCGCCACCACGCCCAGCUAAUUUUUGUAUUUUUAGUAGAGAUGGGGUUUCACACCAUGUUGGGCAGGAUGGUCUCAAUCUCUUGAACUUGUGAUCUGCCUGCCUCGGCCUCCCAAAGUGCUGGGAUUCCAGGUGUGAGCUGACUAGUGUCUUUAUAAGAAGAAGAGAUG